This 253-nucleotide ribosomal RNA is filed under the name uncultured prokaryote. RNAcentral describes it as "partial 16S ribosomal RNA". It matches the Rfam family "Bacterial small subunit ribosomal RNA", at positions 524 to 776 of the family's 1533-position model. The record is from RNAcentral.
UACAGAGGGGGCGAGCGUUGUCCGGAAUCACUGGGCGUAAAGGGCGCGUAGGCGGCUGGAUAAGCCGCGUGUGAAAUCCCGGGGCUUAACCGAGGAACGGCACGCGAGACUGCUCGGCUAGAGAAUGGGAGAGGCAAGUGGAAUUCCCGGUGUAGCGGUGGAAUGCGUAGAGAUCAGGAAGAACACCAGUGGCGAAGGCGGCUUGCUGGGCCAGUACUGACGCUGAGGCGCGAAAGCGUGGGGAGCAAACGGG